RNAcentral lists this ribosomal RNA (468 nucleotides) under uncultured bacterium. RNAcentral describes it as "partial 16S ribosomal RNA". It matches the Rfam family "Bacterial small subunit ribosomal RNA", at positions 28 to 507 of the family's 1533-position model. The record is from RNAcentral.
GAUGAACGCUGGCGGCGUGCUUAACACAUGCAAGUCGAACGGAAAGGCCCUGCGCUUGUGGGGUUCUUGAGUGCCGAACGCGUGAGUGACACGUGAGUAUCCUGCCCUUGUCUUUCGGAUAACUUCAGGAAACUGGGGCUAAUAUCGGAUAGGAUCUCCUGCUGCAUGGUGGGGGUUGGAAAGUUUCGGCGGUUGGGGAUGGACUCGCGGGUUAUGAGCUUGCUGGUGGGGUAGUUGCUUACCAAGGGUUUGACGGGUAGCCGGCCUGAGAGGGUGACCGGGCUCAAGAGGACUGAGGGAGGGCGCAGACUCGAACGGGAGGCAACGGUGGGGAGUCUGGCACAAUGGGCCCAAGCGUGUUGCAGAGGCGCCGCGUGCGGAAAGACCUCCUUUGGGUUAAGAACCGCUGUCGCCUGAGACGAAGCGUUCGUGACGGUAAUGAAUAAAGAAGCACCGGCUAACUACGUG